GAGGUCUGUGAUUAGCUCUACCUGACUGGGCACCUACCUGGAUCUUCCAUGAUUAAAAAAUUCAUUUUCUUGGCUAUCAUCAACCUUCUUUUCUCUUUAGGUCUUGGAGUAACAUGAGUAGUUUAAGAGCAAAACUACUGACAGUGGUUUUGAGGAUGGAAUAUAGUUUGAGGCAUUUACUGUUCUAUGGGAUCUCUUGAACAAGAUUAGUUUAAAAACAGUGGCAUCUGAUGGAUAGAAU
This 241-nucleotide long non-coding RNA is filed under the name Notechis scutatus (mainland tiger snake). Its description in RNAcentral is "lncRNA (ENSNSUG00000013623.1)". Lineage: Eukaryota; Metazoa; Chordata; Lepidosauria; Squamata; Elapidae. The record is from RNAcentral.